Molecule: ribosomal RNA, 506 nt
Filed under: uncultured bacterium
Lineage: Bacteria
Description: bacterial SSU rRNA
Rfam family: Bacterial small subunit ribosomal RNA
Source: RNAcentral
AACGAACGCUGGCGGCGUGGAUUAGGCAUGCAAGUCGAACGCGAAAGGGUAGCAAUACCCGAGUAAAGUGGCGAACGGGUGAGUAACGCGUAGGAAACCUGCCUUCGAGGUGGGGAUAACACUCCUAACGGGGUGCUAAUACCGAAUGACACUGCGAAGUCGCAUGGCUUUGCAGUCAAAGGUGGCCUCUGCUCGCAAGCUACCACUCGAAGAUGGUCCUGCGUCCCAUUAGCUAGUUGGCGAGGUAACGGCUCACCAAGGCGACGAUGGGUAGCCGAUCUGAGAGGAUGACCGGCCACACUGGGACUGAGAUACGGCCCAGACUCCUACGGGAGGCAGCAGUCGAGAGGCUUCGGCAAUGGGGGAAACCCUGACCGAGCGACGCCGCGUGGAGGAUGAAGGCCUUUGGGUUGUAAACUCCUGUCAUGUGGGAAGAAACGCCACCGCGCGAACUAGUACGGUGGUCUGACGGUACCACAAGAGGAAGCUCCGGCUAACUCCGUGCC